Molecule: long non-coding RNA, 1089 nt
Organism: Nomascus leucogenys (northern white-cheeked gibbon)
Lineage: Eukaryota; Metazoa; Chordata; Mammalia; Primates; Hylobatidae
Exons: 4
Source: RefSeq, a predicted model, not a curated record
UCGAAGCUCAUAUGACUAAAAUAAUUGCCCUCACCCAGGCAUGCCAACUUGUGCAAGUGAAGUAUGUAGUUAUGCUGGUAGUAAAGGGGCUUUUGUCCACAAAUUCAGAGUGCUUAGAGAACCCCAAGGGAGGAGCUCAGUGGGUGGAGUCUCCAGGGAUUUGCCUUGGAGGCUGUUGGGAGAGCAGGAGUGAGCGCCGUGAUUGGCUGGGACCUUGAUGUCACAAAGGUCAGGGACAGCUGCCAGAGAAUAAAGCAGAGGGCUGUGGGGUGAAGGGACUGCCAGUCUUCCGCCACUCCUUUUCAGGGUCCUUCCCUUCACUGCCUUCCUUCUCCCAGACACACUGGGCAUCCAGUUCCAACCCAAAGGCUGCCCCUUUGACCAGGCCCAUCUUCUCCACCUCACAUCAAACAGCCAAUCGGCUGCUCAGACCUUGAAACCUCAGUAACCUAGAAGGAAAUGGACUUUGACAAACGUGUGUCAGGAGAGGAUGACUUGGAGGUGUCCACCGUGUUUCUUACUGAAGAUGUCUACAAGUCAAUUGGGUCAAGGAACAAGCCUCUACUCACAUGCACGUGGGCAAAUGAAGUCACAGAACAAAUAACCUACCCUGCAUCCAGGCACUGAGUCCAGGGACACCCCCUGCUGCUGCCUUACCUAAGAGAAAGCGGCCCAAGAAGCAUUGACCCGGUGCCUGCUGAAGCCAGGAGCCCUCUGCCACUGCCUGACACAAGCAUCCUGCGCUCCCCCCUCCCAGACCCUCCCCGAAAGUGUGGGCCACAGGUACCACUCCCUGUGCCACUGAGCCCCACAUUUCCCAUCCCCCAAGCCACCCCCGCCCAGCCCCAGAGCUUUCCUACAUUUAUGAUUUGUCCAAAAAGGUGAUGUCCUUCAGCCCCCAGAAGGUCAUCCUCCAGUCUGUGACCAUCACACUGGGGUCCUGCAUGGGGUCCUCACAGGCCUUCAGCCCAGCACAAAUCAUGGCCUGGUUUGACCUUUGAAAUAUCUCAACAUCUAAAAUUCAGAGCUUUUUUGGAAUAUUUAUUUUCCAUAGAUAUAAUUCUUUCAAAUAAAUUCCUUAGAAAACAA